RNAcentral lists this ribosomal RNA (297 nucleotides) under uncultured Pseudomonadota bacterium. RNAcentral describes it as "uncultured proteobacterium partial 16S ribosomal RNA". It matches the Rfam family "Bacterial small subunit ribosomal RNA", at positions 29 to 351 of the family's 1533-position model. Lineage: Bacteria; Pseudomonadati; Pseudomonadota. The record is from RNAcentral.
AACGAACGCUGGCGGCAGGCUUAACACAUGCAAGUCGAACGGACGUAGCGAUACGUUAGUGGCGCACGGGUGAGUAACGCGUGGAUAUCUGCCUUUUGGUUCGGGAUAACCUUGGGAAACUAGGGCUAAUACCGAAUGGUUCCUACGGGAUAAAGAUUUAUCGCCAAAAGAUGAGUCCGCGUCCGAUUAGCUGGUUGGCGGGGUAAUGGCCCACCAAGGCGACGAUCGGUAGCUGGUCUGAGAGGACGAUCAGCCACACUGGGACUGAGACACGGCCCAGACUCCUACGGGUGGCAG